AUUGAACGCUGGCGGCAGGCCUAACACAUGCAAGUCGAGCGGAUGAAGGGAGCUUGCUCCUGGAUUCAGCGGCGGACGGGUGAGUAAUGCCUAGGAAUCUGCCUGGUAGUGGGGGAUAACGUCCGGAAACGGGCGCUAAUACCGCAUACGUCCUGAGGGAGAAAGUGGGGGAUCUUCGGACCUCACGCUAUCAGAUGAGCCUAGGUCGGAUUAGCUAGUUGGUGGGGUAAAGGACUACCAAGGCGACGAUCCGUAACUGGUCUGAGAGGAUGAUCAGUCACACUGGAACUGAGACACGGUCCAGACUCCUACGGGAGGCAGCAGUGGGGAAUAUUGGACAAUGGGCGAAAGCCUGAUCCAGCCAUGCCGCGUGUGUGAAGAAGGUCUUCGGAUUGCAAAGCACUUUAAGUUGGGAGGAAGGGCAGUAAGUUAAUACCUUGCUGUUUUGUCGUUACCAACAGAAUAAGCACCGGCUAACUUCGUG
RNAcentral lists this ribosomal RNA (484 nucleotides) under uncultured bacterium. RNAcentral's name for it is "partial 16S ribosomal RNA". It matches the Rfam family "Bacterial small subunit ribosomal RNA", at positions 30 to 507 of the family's 1533-position model. The record is from RNAcentral.